GCCUUCGUGGUGUAAUGGUCAGCACACUGAGCCGGUAUUUCCGAGGUCCGCGGUUCGAUUCCCGGCGAAGGCG
RNAcentral lists this transfer RNA (73 nucleotides) under Stegodyphus mimosarum. It matches the Rfam family "tRNA". From Rfam's summary of the family: Transfer RNA (tRNA) molecules are approximately 80 nucleotides in length. Their secondary structure includes four short double-helical elements and three loops (D, anti-codon, and T loops). Lineage: Eukaryota; Metazoa; Arthropoda; Arachnida; Araneae; Eresidae. The record is from Rfam by way of RNAcentral.